CCGGCCCGCGCCCCCGCCCGCCCCGCUCUGACGUCAGGCGUCUUGGAGCGGGAUAUUUAUGGCAAGGAUACUCUGAACGUUCCCUAGGGUCUCUUCCAUGACUGGCACCAUCCCCAGGAAACAGCACCAUCCAUCCUAUAACCCUGAGAAGAGAAGCCGCUCACUUGAGGGUGGAGCAGGAAGAUAGGAGCUGAGGCCCGAGAUGACGUCGAUAAGUGGCCGUACCUUCCUCUAACUCCUGGUUAGGUGCAAAAAAUAAAUCUGAAUGUGCUUAAAUGAU
Long non-coding RNA from Suricata suricatta (meerkat), 280 nucleotides. RefSeq lists it as uncharacterized. Lineage: Eukaryota; Metazoa; Chordata; Mammalia; Carnivora; Herpestidae. The transcript has 3 exons. The record is from RefSeq and is a predicted model, not a curated record.